Molecule: ribosomal RNA, 422 nt
Filed under: uncultured bacterium
Lineage: Bacteria
Description: bacterial SSU rRNA
Rfam family: Bacterial small subunit ribosomal RNA
Source: RNAcentral
GGAAUUUUGGACAAUGGGCGCAAGCCUGAUCCAGCCAUGCCGCGUGCGGGAAGAAGGCCUUCGGGUUGUAAACCGCUUUUGGCAGGAACGAAACGGCGCGGGCUAAUACCUCGCGUUAAUGACGGUACCUGCAGAAUAAGCACCGGCUAACUACGUGCCAGCAGCCGCGGUAAUACGUAGGGUGCAAGCGUUAAUCGGAAUUACUGGGCGUAAAGCGUGCGCAGGCGGCUCCUUAAGUCAGAUGUGAAAGCCCCGGGCUUAACCUGGGAACUGCGUUUGAAACUGGGGAGCUAGAGUGUGGAAGAGGGGGGUGGAAUUCCAGGUGUAGCAGUGAAAUGCGUAGAGAUCUGGAGGAACACCGAUGGCGAAGGCAGCCCCCUGGGCUAACACUGACGCUCAUGCACGAAAGCGUGGGGAGCAAA